RNAcentral lists this ribosomal RNA (969 nucleotides) under Triticum aestivum (bread wheat). Its description in RNAcentral is "partial small subunit ribosomal RNA". Lineage: Eukaryota; Viridiplantae; Streptophyta; Magnoliopsida; Poales; Poaceae. The record is from RNAcentral.
AUGGCCGCCUCCUACAUAGCGGUAUUGCUCAUCCUCGCCGCAGUUGCCCCACGCCCCUCCUCGGCUCGGCACGUCGUCACCUUCAUCCCUAGUCGCGGCGUCUCCCCCUCCUCCCUGGCCUGGGACCCCACCGCUCAGCACUUCGUCGUCGCCGGCGGAGGCGACGCCGUCCUAUCCGUAUCCGACGCCGGCGUGACCGAAUCGAUCGCGUCCCCCGGUGCCUCCGCAGUCGCCGUUGACGACCGCCGCCGUCGUCUCAUAGUAGCGUCCGCCGGUUCCGUCUCCGCUUUCGACCUCCGCACCCCUCGCCCCCAUCGCCUCCUCUUCUCCACCACGCUCCCCGACCCCGCCGCGCCCGGCGGCGUCGCCGUGGACCCACAAUCUGGCGUCGCCUUCCUCACCUUGGGCGCCCAAAUCUACAGCCUUUCCCCUGACGGCGACCUCGCCGCGCUCCCUGCUUCGCCCGUCUAUGGCUCGGAGCCCCUUUCCUCCCUCACCGCACACGUGAGCCGCGGGUUCCUCCUCGUCGGCCGUCCCAGCACCGGCCACCUCCUCCGCGUCGACAUGGAGGACGGAUCCGCAAGAGCCGUUUCAGGGGCCUUUACGCCCCCCACGCCGAUCGCCGUCGCGGUGCGGAGCGAUGGGACGGUGGCGGUGGGCGGGGCCACGACUCUGCGCCUGGUCUGGAGCAACGACGGGUGGGUGUCUUGUGCGGAGCAUGACGUGGGGGAACCGGAUGGCGCUGUCGCGGCGGUGGCGGUAAGGGAGCGGAAGCGGUUGUACGCGCUGGUGGAGGCGGAGGUGGAGGGGAAGAGGGAAUGGCGGAUCGAGGAGGUGGAGUGGAAAAAGGAGGGGGAGGGGGAGAUGGUGGCGCUGUUAAUCUUGGUCGGCGCCGCCCUCGCCAUCUUCAUGUUCUGGAGGUUCCAGAUGCGGCAGCUCGCCGGCAACAUGAACAAGAAGAUCAGAUAG